This 1012-nucleotide long non-coding RNA is filed under the name Homo sapiens (human). Its description in RNAcentral is "HSALNT0075542". The record is from RNAcentral. Lineage: Eukaryota; Metazoa; Chordata; Mammalia; Primates; Hominidae.
UUUUAGUCUUAGAUCCUUCAAUAAAUACCAAGCACUUACCACCUGGAUGGUGCACAAUGUUUGGAUAUUAUGAAUGAAACUGCCACGAACUUUUGUGAACAAGUCUUUGUGUGAACACAAGCAUUUAUCUGUCUUGGAAAAAAACCUGGAAUGGAAUGACUAGGUCAUAUGGAAUUGAAUUCUUGGAAGAUGAGGCUGGAAAAUUUCAUCGUCAUUACGUCAACAUGCUAACAGAUGGUCUGCAAAGCACUUCUCAGGUUUCAUUCAGUAUUUCUGUGAAGAAGCCAGGGGAUCAUGAUGUUCUACUGUGAGAAUGACAGAAAGAGCAAACAAGAACACCUGGGUUACACGAGCUGACUUGCUUCUCUUCAAUGGACAGUAUGAACACAGGUCAGAAUAAUUUCUCCUUUGCAGAGCUACACCAGCACUCUCUCAUGGAAAAGAAUGAGGCAGAGUCAAGGGAGAAAAACAGGAACAUGAGGCUUACAAAUAAUGAUAAAUAUGUCACUAUUCUGAGAGCACCUGUGAUAUACAUACUAUGUCCUUAAACUAAAUGGUUUGGACAAGGUCACCUAUCCAGGGAGGAGGAUCCAAGGCAGUUGAUCUAAGACCUACUUCAAUCCACUUGACCGUAUUUUACUAAUGAGGACAGAGACCAUUAUACUCUGUCACGUUUACAAUGAUAUGAAUAAAUUUUCCUAACAGUUUCUACAAGGUCUUUUUUCUCUUUUUGCAUUUCAAUUGCAUUGUAUGUGAUCAAUUUCAAGUACAAGUGAAUUGCAAGUGGAAAACUUCUGAGAGCAAGUGAGUUGCACUUGACAUUUUGGGUUCCCUGUAGCUGAGUAGCUCUCAAAAAGGUCACAUACAACUUUGUUGCACUGCAAAAUGCCAAGGGCAACUCAGUAGCAAUUGGAAAUUGAAAGGGAAAUUAUAUUCUACCAGAAAUCAGUCACAUGGAUUCUGAAGAAAGAUCUUUGUUCUAUUAAUUGUGUGUGAGGAAAAUAGAAAAUUG